GUGUAAUUCCAUUAAUGUAUACUAUAAAUCUGCAGAAAAACCCCUAUAGGCAAAAGUUGUGAAGGUGACAUACAGCAAAUCACCAGGCAGAACCUAUUUCUAAAAAGACCAAUGAGGUUAUUCACCAAACAGUAAAUUAGGAUGAACUGUAAUCCAAAUUACAACCUUUCAGGCUAAAAAAGCCAGCUAUAGAUAAAUGGGAGACUAUUUCCAAAUCGACUAUUUUAGGCUAGCCUAAAUUUUGCAAUUUUGGUUUUAAUUUACUAUAAUUCUCUGUUUAAUGAAUAAAUACCAAAAUAUCUCUAUGCUGUACAUUUCAGAUUAUUUGUUCCUUCACUCACUUUCCUGAUAAAAUCCAAAUAUUUUGUACUUUCC
Pelobates cultripes (western spadefoot toad) is the source of this 375-nucleotide non-coding RNA. NCBI's taxonomy places the organism in Eukaryota, Metazoa, Chordata, Amphibia, Anura, Pelobatidae. The record is from the annotation of a GenBank genome assembly.